AGUGAACGCUGGCGGUAGGCCUAACACAUGCAAGUCGAACGGCAGCAUAGUAAGAGCUUGCUCUUACGGGUGGCGAGUGGCGGACGGGUGAGGAAUACAUCGGAAUCUACUUUUUCGUGGGGGAUAACGUAGGGAAACUUACGCUAAUACCGCAUACGACCUACGGGUGAAAGCAGGGGAUCUUCGGGCCUUGCGCGAUUGAAUGAGCCGAUGUCGGAUUAGCUAGUUGGCGGGGUAAAGGCCCACCAAGGCGACGAUCCGUAGCUGGUCUGAGAGGAUGAUCAGCCACACUGGAACUGAGACACGGUCCAGACUCCUACGGGAGGCAGCAGUGGGGAAUAUUGGACAAUGGGCGCAAGCCUGAUCCAGCCAUACCGCGUGGGUGAAGAAGGCCUUCGGGUUGUAAAGCCCUUUUGUUGGGAAAGAAAAGCAGCAGGUUAAUACCCCGCUGUUCUGACGGUACCCAAAGAAUAAGCACCGGCUAACUUCGUG
This 492-nucleotide ribosomal RNA is filed under the name uncultured bacterium. RNAcentral's name for it is "partial 16S ribosomal RNA". It matches the Rfam family "Bacterial small subunit ribosomal RNA", at positions 29 to 507 of the family's 1533-position model. The record is from RNAcentral.